CAAUGAUACUAAAAUCAGUCAGGGCUGUAGACUAACUUUUUGCCACAGUUGCCUGGUGCACCUAACUUUUUUUCCUUAGGUGCACCACCACCUGUCAACACAAAGUUCUUUGUUUGGAGCACAUUUCUACAAGAAAGACAAGUUACUGAAAAAAUUGUUUAAAGUGCUUCACUGAGCUGAAAUUUAAACUUAAAACAUCUCAAGAUAUAUUCAAUAAAAAGAAAAUGUAAAUUACAAAGACCUGAAAGUGCCUGACAGGCUUCAAAAUGAACAUCUCAGUAUCUGAACAGCUUUAUAUCUUAUGGACCCUCCCCCAUUACAGUCACAUGGCCCUCAGAUGUCCUGUAAUCUGGCCUUUUCCCCCUUUUUCCCCAUGUGUCUGUGAUGACACCUGUAACCCGGGCACACGUGACAUCAUUACUGUACAUGGGGUUUACCUUCAAGACAUUUUUCUUGUGAAGAAUUAUUUUGGACUUGAACUUAGUGAACGGAACAUCUUCUUUGGGAAUAUCGUAGGCAAUGUUAAACUUAAUCAUCACAUCGGCCUCCUGUGACGACCUGUUUGCUGCCGCUGAAAGGCAGUGGGGAGAAGCCAGUGCAUUUAUCGCAGCAUAUAAUGUGUUUUCUGAAUGCACUGCUUUUUCAGCGUUUCUUUUUGAAACGUAUUAGCUGCAGUCACAAAUGCAGUAUUGCCGGCCACAGUUUCUCCACACUCACUGCAGUAAAUGCAGUGCGUCAUGUUGUCAGCUUUACUGUAUCUUAGCCAGGGAAACUGGUCAAGCCGCUCUCUUCCCAACGUAUACACUUUACGCCUUUACUGUCAGUGGGCUCUGAGUCCAUCGUAUGUGGCUCAUUAUCUGAUGCCGUCUCUGAACCAGUGUUAGACAUAACCUGAGAGGUUGAUGGCUCCGUGUCAGAGCACUCGCUAUGAAUUUCAGAGGGAUCAGGCCUUAACGAAACAGUUAUCAAUCGUUCUUUUCAUCUUUUCUCAUUACCCACAACUACAGCCACUUCUAUCAGGUCUAGGCUGCUCACCUCUGUCUAUCUGCCUGCACCUUCAAAUGUACACACACAGGCUUACAUCUGGACCAUGACCAAUCAGAGAGCUCCUGCCCCUCACUAUCUCUGAUUGGUUUAGACCACGAUACAGGCAUAAUGUGUGAUGUUUUCUUUACUUGAAUGACUGGUUGCACCGGUGCGACCUAGGAUUCUUUUAGUCACACCACUGAGAAGUUAGGUCGCAUGUCACACUCUAGAGCCUUGUUUAUGUUGAUGCAUUAAAAACCUCAAAUCUUUUUUUUUUAAUGAAACAAAUGUUUCUCACAUUUUUUUUUUCAUUUUGAAAUAAAAAUUUCAAAGUGUUACAACUUUUGAUUAUAUGAGUUUUUAAACCAUAAAUAUGAUUGCAGCUUUAAAAGACGCUGCUGGAGGAAUAAAAUUCAGGAAAUUCCAGGAACAUGAUCGAAAGUUUUUCUUUUUUUCUUUUUUUUAAAAAUGAAUUUAAAACUUGUUUUCCUGACGACAGUGUUGGAUUGCAGAUAUUGAUUGUGUGUUUUUAAUGUGUUUAUUACUGAAAUGUAAUUUAAGGAGUUUAUUUUACUGUUUAUUUAUUAGCUUAAAGUGAAAAAUGUGUAUGUUACUUUUGUCACCCAGCUGGAAAUGAUCAUGUGUCAGUGUGUUUGUGCGUGUGUUAGUGUUGUGGUUGUUGUUGUGAAUCUGUAGUAAGUUUACAGAGCGGCGAGGCUGAUGAAUGACAGCUUCAAAGUGACACGAUCAGCUGAUGGCAGAUGUUGUGAACAGGAAGUUAGUGGCAUGAUGUCAGCCAAUCAGAACAUCAUGUUUUCUGCAGUGUUUGUGGUCACUUUACAUCUCCAACAUUAUUCAGUAUUGAAAGCAAACUAAAGCACAUCUGUUUGUAAGUGUUUAUUGAUGUAUUGGUAAUGUUUACGUGCUGCUAAUGAAAGUGUUUAUCAUAACUAUGUUCAUAAUGUGCUGUAAGAACAAAGUGAUACUGAAGUGAUUCACAGGUUGUUGUAAAGACAUCGAACAUCACGUGUUUCUGAACUUGUCAAAUAAAGUGAAAAAUUGAGUGUUUAUCUGACAUCAGGAAUAGCGUUUACUUCUUAAUCAUUUAUUUAAACACUGGAAAAAUUUGAGAUCGGAUGAUUAAACUGAUAAAUUUUUCAUAUACAGGUCAGUGAUGUAUCUGGCUUAAGUAGUUAAGCUCGUGAUUAAUUACAACAGCUGUAAUCGGGUUUAUGUGAACUAUUGGCAUCGUUAUUUAUUUAUGUUAUAUUUUGCACUCUGUUUUUGUUGAGAUGGUGUACGCAUCUUCAACACAUUUGCUAUUUUAACUGUCUUAAGGAGUGGAAUGUCCCUUCUAUUUUUUUUCUGUUUCUUGUAAAAAAUCUAAUAAAAUUCAAGUCUUAAAAAA
Molecule: long non-coding RNA, 2434 nt
Organism: Astatotilapia calliptera (eastern happy)
Lineage: Eukaryota; Metazoa; Chordata; Actinopteri; Cichliformes; Cichlidae
Source: Ensembl